CCCUUAGAUGUUCUGGGCUGCACGCGCGCUACACUGAUGCACUCAACGAGUUUACGACCUUGCCCGAUAGGGUUGGGUAAUCUUUUUAAAAUGCAUCGUGAUGGGGAUAGAUUAUUGCAAUUAUUAAUCUUCAACGAGGAAUUCCUAGUAAGCGCGAGUCAUCAGCUCGUGCUGAUUACGUCCCUGCCCUUUGUACACACCGCCCGUCGCUCCUACCGAUUGAGUGCUCAGGUGAAUAACUCGGACUGCAGCAAUGUUUGGAUCCCGAACGUUGCAGCGGAAAGUUUAGUGAACCUUAUCACUUAGAGGAAGGAGAAGUCGUAACA
RNAcentral lists this ribosomal RNA (326 nucleotides) under uncultured eukaryote. RNAcentral describes it as "partial 18S ribosomal RNA". It matches the Rfam family "Eukaryotic small subunit ribosomal RNA", at positions 1470 to 1796 of the family's 1831-position model. The record is from RNAcentral.